GGCCCUACGGGGCGCAGCAGGCGCGAAAACUUUACAAUGCGGGCAACCGUGAUAAGGGAACCUCGAGUGCCUGUAAAUGCAGGCUGUUUAGGUGUUUAAAACGCACCUGGAGAAAGGGCCGGGCAAGACCGGUGCCAGCCGCCGCGGUAAUACCGGCGGCUCGAGUGGUGGCCACUUUUAUUGGGCUUAAAGCGUUCGUAGCUGGGUUGUUAAGUCUCUUGGGAAAUCUGGCGGCUUAACCGUCAGGCGUCUAAGGGAUACUGGCAAUCUUGGAACCGGGAGAGGUGAGGGGUACUUCGGGGGUAGGAGUGAAAUCCUGUAAUCCUCGAGGGACCACCUGUGGCGAAGGCGCCUCACCAGAACGGCUUCGACAGUGAGGGACGAAAGCUGGGGGAGCAAACCGGAUUAGAUACCCGGGUAGUCCCAGCCGUAAACGAUACUCGCUAGGUGUCGGCCACGGUGCGACCGUUGUCGGUGCCGUAGGGAAGCCGUGAAGCGAGCCACCUGGGAAGUACGGCCGCAAGGCUGAAACUUAAAGGAAUUGGCGGGGGAGCACCACAACGGGUGGAGCUUGCGGUUUAAUUGGAUUCAACGCCGGAAAUCUUACCGG
RNAcentral lists this ribosomal RNA (610 nucleotides) under uncultured archaeon. RNAcentral's name for it is "bacterial SSU rRNA". It matches the Rfam family "Archaeal small subunit ribosomal RNA", at positions 319 to 933 of the family's 1478-position model. The record is from RNAcentral.